This 102-nucleotide non-coding RNA is filed under the name uncultured Thiohalocapsa sp. RNAcentral's name for it is "Glycine riboswitch". It matches the Rfam family "Glycine riboswitch aptamer", at positions 8 to 87 of the family's 94-position model. From Rfam's summary of the family: This family represents the bacterial glycine riboswitch. Glycine riboswitches usually consist of two metabolite-binding aptamers domains with similar structures in tandem. The aptamers cooperatively bind glycine to regulate the expression of downstream genes. The record is from RNAcentral. Lineage: Bacteria; Pseudomonadati; Pseudomonadota; Gammaproteobacteria; Chromatiales; Chromatiaceae.
CCGCGGGAGAGACCGGUGACGUGCGGGGCAGCUUUGCCAUCGCGCGCGCCGGCGCCGAAGGCGCAACACCGCCCGGAAUCGCUCAGGCAAAAGGACCGCGGC